Molecule: transfer RNA, 64 nt
Filed under: Echinostoma revolutum
Lineage: Eukaryota; Metazoa; Platyhelminthes; Trematoda; Plagiorchiida; Echinostomatidae
Description: tRNA-Phe
Rfam family: tRNA
About the family: Transfer RNA (tRNA) molecules are approximately 80 nucleotides in length. Their secondary structure includes four short double-helical elements and three loops (D, anti-codon, and T loops).
Source: RNAcentral
UCUUUCUUAGCUUAAAUUUAAAGCGUUAGUUUGAAGAGCUAAAGAUACUAGUUUGUAGGGGGAG